RNAcentral lists this ribosomal RNA (253 nucleotides) under uncultured bacterium. Its description in RNAcentral is "partial 16S ribosomal RNA". It matches the Rfam family "Bacterial small subunit ribosomal RNA", at positions 524 to 776 of the family's 1533-position model. The record is from RNAcentral.
GACGAACCGUGCGAACGUUGUUCGGAAUCACUGGGCUUAAAGGGCGCGUAGGCGGCUCUCUUGGUCGUGGGUGAAAUCCCCCAGCUUAACUGGGGAAGGGCUUACGAUACCGGGGGGCUCGAGGGAGGAAGGGGCGGUCGGAACUGUCGGUGGAGCGGUGAAAUGCGUUGAUAUCGACAGGAACGCCGGUGGCGAAAGCGGACCGCUGGCCCUCUUCUGACGCUGAGGCGCGAAAGCCAGGGGAGCGAACGGG